Molecule: ribosomal RNA, 460 nt
Filed under: uncultured Chitinophagaceae bacterium
Lineage: Bacteria; Pseudomonadati; Bacteroidota; Chitinophagia; Chitinophagales; Chitinophagaceae
Description: partial 16S ribosomal RNA
Source: RNAcentral
GACUACAGGGGUAUCUAAUCCUGUUUGAUCCCCACGCUUUCGUGCCUCAGUGUCAAUACAGGCCUAGUGAACUGCCUUCGCAAUCGGUGUUCUAUUACAUAUCUAAGCAUUUCACCGCUACAUGUAAUAUUCCAUCCACCUCGACCUGAUUCAAGCUAAGCAGUAUCAAUGGCAGUUUUAGAGUUAAGCUCUAAGAUUUCACCACUGACUUACAAAGCCACCUACGCACCCUUUAAACCCAGUGAAUCCGGAUAACGCUUGCACCCUCCGUAUUACCGCGGCUGCUGGCACGGAGUUAGCCGGUGCUUAUUCCUCUGGUACCUUCAAGCCGAUAUGAAUACCGGUUUUUAUUCCCAGAGAAAAGAAGUUUACAACCCAGAGGGCCUUAAUCCUUCACGCGGGAUGGCUGGAUCAGAGUUGCCUCCAUUGUCCAAUAUUCCCCACUGCAGCCGCCCGUAGG